RNAcentral lists this ribosomal RNA (1829 nucleotides) under Nostoc sp. BR36. Its description in RNAcentral is "bacterial SSU rRNA". The stretch from base 1 to 1482 matches the Rfam family "Bacterial small subunit ribosomal RNA". The record is from RNAcentral. Lineage: Bacteria; Bacillati; Cyanobacteriota; Cyanophyceae; Nostocales; Nostocaceae.
AGAGUUUGAUCCUGGCUCAGGAUGAACGCUGGCGGUAUGCUUAACACAUGCAAGUCGAACGGUGUCUUCGGACACAGUGGCGGACGGGUGAGUAACGCGUGAGAAUCUGGCUUCAGGUCUGGGACAACCACUGGAAACGGUGGCUAAUACCGGAUGUGCCGAGAGGUGAAAGGUUAACUGCCUGAAGAUGAGCUCGCGUCUGAUUAGCUAGUAGGUAGUGUAAUGGACUACCUAGGCGACGAUCAGUAGCUGGUCUGAGAGGACGAUCAGCCACACUGGGACUGAGACACGGCCCAGACUCCUACGGGAGGCAGCAGUGGGGAAUUUUCCGCAAUGGGCGAAAGCCUGACGGAGCAAUACCGCGUGAGGGAGGAAGGCUCUUGGGUCGUAAACCUCUUUUCUCAGGGAAGAACACAAUGACGGUACCUGAGGAAUAAGCAUCGGCUAACUCCGUGCCAGCAGCCGCGGUAAUACGGAGGAUGCAAGCGUUAUCCGGAAUGAUUGGGCGUAAAGCGUCCGCAGGUGGCUGUGUAAGUCUGCUGUUAAAGAGUCUAGCUCAACUAGAUACAAGCAGUGGAAACUACACGGCUAGAGUACGUUCGGGGCAGAGGGAAUUCCUGGUGUAGCGGUGAAAUGCGUAGAGAUCAGGAAGAACACCGGUGGCGAAGGCGCUCUGCUAGGCCGUAACUGACACUGAGGGACGAAAGCUAGGGGAGCGAAUGGGAUUAGAUACCCCAGUAGUCCUAGCCGUAAACGAUGGAUACUAGGCGUGGCUUGUAUCGACCCGAGCCGUGCCGUAGCUAACGCGUUAAGUAUCCCGCCUGGGGAGUACGCCGGCAACGGUGAAACUCAAAGGAAUUGACGGGGGCCCGCACAAGCGGUGGAGUAUGUGGUUUAAUUCGAUGCAACGCGAAGAACCUUACCAAGGCUUGACAUGUCGCGAAUCCUGGUGAAAGCCGGGAGUGCCUUCGGGAGCGCGAACACAGGUGGUGCAUGGCUGUCGUCAGCUCGUGUCGUGAGAUGUUGGGUUAAGUCCCGCAACGAGCGCAACCCUCGUUUUUAGUUGCCAGCAUUAAGUUGGGCACUCUAGAGAGACUGCCGGUGACAAACCGGAGGAAGGUGGGGAUGACGUCAAGUCAGCAUGCCCCUUACGCCUUGGGCUACACACGUACUACAAUGCUCCGGACAGAGGGCAGCAAGCCAGCGAUGGCAAGCAAAUCCCGUAAACCGGAGCUCAGUUCAGAUCGCAGGCUGCAACUCGCCUGCGUGAAGGAGGAAUCGCUAGUAAUUGCAGGUCAGCAUACUGCAGUGAAUUCGUUCCCGGGCCUUGUACACACCGCCCGUCACACCAUGGAAGCUGGUAGUGCCCGAAGUCAUUACUCCAACCUUUCGGGGGGGAGGAUGCCUAAGGCAGGACUGGUGACUGGGGUGAAGUCGUAACAAGGUAGCCGUACCGGAAGGUGUGGCUGGAUCACCUCCUUUUUAGGGAGACCUACACCCCUCAGAAAUCGAAAAACAUACAGUUAAAUAGAUACUGAGUUGGUCUAACCUAGGUCGGUCGAGAAUUGGUAUAAAGCUUUCAAAGUAUUAAUGGUUCGGUAUAUGAAAUAUAAGCAAAAUGAUUGAGAGACCAGCAACAUGACUUAUGUCAGACUGCUGAGUUGAUCUCAGCCAGAACCUUGAAAACUGCAUAGUAACGCGAAAUUAGCAGGCAGACACAGACAUUCUUUAUGGAUGUUGUAGUGAAUGCAAAAUGUGAAACACCAAAUGUAUUGAGUGGUCAAGCUAAUAAGGGCUAACGGUGGAUACCUAGGCACACAGAGGCGAAG